UGAACUUGAUAAUCAAAAGAAACGAAGAACCAUGCAGAUGGCACACGAAGAACAACGCAAUUGCCUCACUAAACUGGAACGCGGAUUUUCUAGCGGAGCCGGUAACUACCGGUCACGAUCUCAUCGUUGGAUAUGUUGCGCGCGAUUCGGGCGUGAGAUUCUGGCCACCAUCCGGCGCGCUCUUCAUCGUUUCUCUCCUCUCCCCGCAUCUCGAUCCGGAAAAGGCGGCGGUGCCGCAAUGGCGUGAAGAUGGCGGCCGGACUGCCCGUGUUUGCACGGCGAGACAGCGCUGCUGCUCCUGCCGCAAGGCAGCAAUGGAGGGCAACAAGCUGGCGUGAAGACUGUCGACAGUUCUGCGGCCGGAACAACGGCGAGGCGGCCGCCUGCCGUCGGCCGAGGUGAGGCCUGCAUCGAUGGGCUCGAGGAGCUCGCUCUGCUCCCUCUCCCGCUCGUGCUCUUCCCAGAGAUUGCCUGCAAUCUUUUUGAGUAUUUUCAUCGGCUUCCCCAGCCAUUUCAGCCAGAAAAUGUUCAGUUCUUCAUCCGCUGUUGGAUCCCUCAACCCUCUUUUUUUUUUCUCAUGUUGUUUGCCUGUAAUGUUCUCUCAUGCUUGGAUCUGUGGCUUACUACUCGCCAUUAUAGCAUCUGAUUGGUUAGGUACCAGCAAUUUAAGAGGUGUGAUCAAUCUCUAAAAAAUGAAUGGGUCGUAUUUGGCAUCGACCAAAUUUCAGAAA
Lolium perenne is the source of this 731-nucleotide long non-coding RNA. RefSeq lists it as uncharacterized. Lineage: Eukaryota; Viridiplantae; Streptophyta; Magnoliopsida; Poales; Poaceae. The record is from RefSeq and is a predicted model, not a curated record.